CUCAAAUCGAACAAACAAAACCAAGACUCUCUUUCUACUCUCUUCAAAUCUUCAAUCAAUUACCAUGGAGGGACGAUGUUGAUAGCGAUCCAUUCAUUACCACCGACUACAUGGGAUAGCCAUUUUGACGAGGUCACCAGACUAUACAAUUCUUGCAACGGAUGUGGAAACUGGUUCUGCUAUCGAUCGUCUUGGAAAUGCUCAGGAGUCUCUCUCUGCUCUUCUUAAUCGGUAUUCAAGAGUGCUCAUUUUGGUUAUAUUCUGAACAAUCAUAUCUUCAUGUGAUGCAGGGAUUAAGGUUAUAAACUUGACCGCAUCUACCAUUGCCUUUGGAGAUGAUGAAGAUCUGGGAUACCAGACAACUAUGUUGCUGCAAUUCCUUUAAUGCUUAGGAGGCUUACAUCUCCGACAUGACUUUUUCAGCUUAUUCCAUGAAACUCCUGGGAACUAGGUCAUCCUUCCAUUUUGUUGU
Rosa chinensis is the source of this 472-nucleotide long non-coding RNA. RefSeq lists it as uncharacterized. The transcript has 4 exons. Lineage: Eukaryota; Viridiplantae; Streptophyta; Magnoliopsida; Rosales; Rosaceae. The record is from RefSeq and is a predicted model, not a curated record.